Molecule: ribosomal RNA, 255 nt
Filed under: uncultured bacterium
Lineage: Bacteria
Description: partial 16S ribosomal RNA
Rfam family: Bacterial small subunit ribosomal RNA
Source: RNAcentral
UACGUAGGGACCGAGCGUUGUCCGGAUUCAUUGGGCGUAAAGAGCUCGUAGGCGGCUGUUCAAGUCGAACGUGAAAACUCGGGGCUCAACUCCGAGCCUGCGUUCGAUACUGGACGGCUAGAGUCUGGUAGGGGGGAUCUGGAAUUCCUGGUGUAGCGGUGGAAUGCGCAGAUAUCAGGAGGAACACCGGUGGCGAAGGCGGGAUCCUGGGCCAGUACUGACGCUGAGGAGCGAAAAGCGUGGGGAGCGAACAGG